Long non-coding RNA from Tyto alba (common barn owl), 877 nucleotides. RefSeq lists it as uncharacterized. The transcript has 4 exons. The record is from RefSeq and is a predicted model, not a curated record. NCBI's taxonomy places the organism in Eukaryota, Metazoa, Chordata, Aves, Strigiformes, Tytonidae.
CGUUCCCCUCGGGGCAUGCUGGGAGGGCGGCCCCGCCCGCCGCCCCCCGCCCGGCCGCGCCCGGGGGGACGCGCGAGCGCCGUGACACCGUCCCAACAGGAAAGAACAAUCCUAAGGAAAGGAAACAGUCUCCCUUUGACGUAAGAUAAUCUUGGAAGCCUUCUGGAUUCACCUUGCUGUUACGUACUCAGCAGAAGAGAGUAUGUUGAAGAUGGGAAAGUAUCAUUUGGUGAAUUUGGUGUAUCCAGGUCACUGAUGUUGUUGCAGCUGAGUUGGCUGUCUUGGGAAUGGAGUAAUGCCAUUUGAAACAGCAGCUGCUCCUGUCUGAGCCUCCAACCUUGUAAAUAUGAAUUGUGCCUGUGGCAGAAAAAUUAAUGGCUAACAUAAAAGAGAAAUAGAAAGCAGGUGGCCUCUUGAAAAAGCAGCCAGAGCUCCAGGACCACAUUUGUACUACAGAGCACAUCAUCAGCCAUGCAUUUUCUUUACCCAAAGUAUUUUCUGUAACCUUUUUCUGUAACCUUACUCCUUAUUUGACCCACAGUCCUCCCAGAGGCCCAUCCAUCAGCCUGGGAAACUUGAUACUAAAGCAUAAUUAAAAUGAAUGCAUUCAGACCUCAGUAAAAAGACUGAAAAACCCUGCAAUGUUGCACAUAUCUAUUCAUUUAUAUUUACUGUUCAGAUGCUUUUAUUUGUAAAAGCAAUCGAGUCAUGAGCACCCCUAUCCUCAGAAGAAUGUAAUGCCAUCAUGGAAGUCAGCAUGUAGUUGAAGUCUGCAUCUUCCCUUCUAAUUACACCUUGCAAAAUUUCACCUUUAAGGAGCCUGCUUCAAGCUGAUUCUGUGUUUCUGCAUGUUUGAUUUUCACCUGAAAUAGUCCAG